UACGGAAGGGGGCUAGCGUUGCUCGGAAUCGACUGGACGUAAGCGCACGUAGGCGGAUCUUUAAGUCAGGGGUGAAAUCCUGGAGCUCAACUCCAGAACUGCCUUUGAUACUGGGGAUCUCGAGUCCGGGAGAGGUGAGUGGAACUCCGAGUGUAGAGGUGAAAUUCGUAGAUAUUCGGAAGAACACCAGUGGCGAAGGCGGCUCACUGGCCCGGUACUGACGCUGAGGCGCGAAAGCGUGGGGAGCAAACGGG
RNAcentral lists this ribosomal RNA (254 nucleotides) under uncultured bacterium. RNAcentral's name for it is "partial 16S ribosomal RNA". It matches the Rfam family "Bacterial small subunit ribosomal RNA", at positions 524 to 776 of the family's 1533-position model. The record is from RNAcentral.